CCAGCUGGCCGGGCGGCCGCGCCCGCAAGAGCCGAAAGGCUGCGGGUGAGGAAAGUCCGGGCUCCAUGGAGACACGGUGCCGGCUAACGGCCGGCGGGGGAGACCCCAGGGAAAGUGCCACAGNNNNNNNNNNCCGCGCGACUGGCAACAGAAGCGGCACGGCAAACCCCACCGGGAGCAAGACCGAAUAGGGGCGGUGCGAAGGGAAACCUUCGAGGGCUGUUUCCGGCCCACCGCCCGGGUAGGUUGCGUGAGGCGCAUGGCGACAUGCGCCCAAGAUGAAUGGCCGCCACGUUCCCGCGCCGCAAGGCGUGGGGGCCAUACAGAACCCGGCUUACAGGCCAGCUGGCAUU
This 353-nucleotide RNase P RNA is filed under the name Mesorhizobium sp. RNAcentral describes it as "RNase P RNA component class A". It matches the Rfam family "Bacterial RNase P class A". Rfam says of the family: Ribonuclease P (RNase P) is a ubiquitous endoribonuclease, found in archaea, bacteria and eukarya as well as chloroplasts and mitochondria. Its best characterised activity is the generation of mature 5'-ends of tRNAs by cleaving the 5'-leader elements of precursor-tRNAs. The record is from RNAcentral. Lineage: Bacteria; Pseudomonadati; Pseudomonadota; Alphaproteobacteria; Hyphomicrobiales; Phyllobacteriaceae.